Molecule: microRNA precursor, 68 nt
Filed under: Pelodiscus sinensis (Chinese soft-shelled turtle)
Lineage: Eukaryota; Metazoa; Chordata; Testudines; Trionychidae
Description: miRNA (ENSPSIG00000020257.1)
Source: RNAcentral
CUGAUCCUCCUUCCACUGAAGUUUAUGAGAGUUUUGUCAUUGACUUCAGUGUGAGCAGGAUUGGGUCC